GGAGGUCGACGACCGGCGCACGGGUGAGUAACGCGUAUGCAACCUACCUUUUACAGGAGGAUAGCCCAGAGAAAUUUGGAUUAACACUCCAUAGUACUAAUGAAUCACCUGGUUUAUUAGUUAAAACUCCGGUGGUAAAAGAUGGGCAUGCGUGUCAUUAGCUAGUUGGUAAGGUAACGGCUUACCAAGGCGAAGAUGACUAGGGGUUCUGAGAGGAAGAUCCCCCACACUGGUACUGAGACACGGACCAGACUCCUACGGGAGGCAGCAGUGAGGAAUAUUGGUCAAUGGGUGAGAGCCUGAACCAGCCAUGCCGCGUGAAGGAAGACUGCCCUAUGGGUUGUAAACUUCUUUUCUGCAGGAAGAAAUCACUCUACGUGUAGGGUGUUGCCGGUACUGCAGGAAUAAGCAUCGGCUAACUCCGUGCCAGCAGCCGCGGUAAUACGGAGGAUGCAAGCGUUAUCCGGAUUUAUUGGGUUUAAAGGGUGCGUAGGCGGGCUUGUAAGUCAGUGGUGAAAUGCUGUGGCUUAACCAUAGAAUUGCCAUUGAAACUGCAAGUCUUGAGUACAGUUGAGGUGGGCGGAAUGAGUAAUGUAGCGGUGAAAUGCAUAGAUAUUACUCAGAACUCCGAUUGCGUAGGCAGCUUGCUAAACUGUAACUGACGCUGAUGCACGAAAGCGUGGGGAGCGAACAGGAUUAGAUACCCUGGUAGUCCACGCUGUAAACGAUGAGCACUGGUUGUUGGCAAUACACCGUCAGCGACUGAGCGAAAGUAUUAAGUGCUC
This 785-nucleotide ribosomal RNA is filed under the name uncultured organism. Its description in RNAcentral is "bacterial SSU rRNA". It matches the Rfam family "Bacterial small subunit ribosomal RNA", at positions 83 to 869 of the family's 1533-position model. The record is from RNAcentral.